RNAcentral lists this ribosomal RNA (472 nucleotides) under Bifidobacterium pseudolongum subsp. pseudolongum. Its description in RNAcentral is "bacterial SSU rRNA". It matches the Rfam family "Bacterial small subunit ribosomal RNA", at positions 34 to 520 of the family's 1533-position model. Lineage: Bacteria; Bacillati; Actinomycetota; Actinomycetes; Bifidobacteriales; Bifidobacteriaceae. The record is from RNAcentral.
CGCUGGCGGCGUGCUUAACACAUGCAAGUCGAACGGGAUCCCUGGCGCUUGCUGCCGGGGUGAGAGUGGCGAACGGGUGAGUAAUGCGUGACCGACCUGCCCCAUGCACCGGAAUAGCUCCUGGAAACGGGUGGUAAUGCCGGAUGUUCCACAUGAGCGCAUGCGAGUGUGGGAAAGGCUUUUGCGGCAUGGGAUGGGGUCGCGUCCUAUCAGCUUGUUGGUGGGGUAACGGCCUACCAAGGCGUUGACGGGUAGCCGGCCUGAGAGGGCGACCGGCCACAUUGGGACUGAGAUACGGCCCAGACUCCUACGGGAGGCAGCAGUGGGGAUAUUGCACAAUGGGCGCAAGCCUGAUGCAGCGACGCCGCGUGCGGGAUGGAGGCCUUCGGGUUGUAAACCGCUUUUGUUCAAGGGCAAGGCACGGUUUCGGCCUUUCGAAUAAGCACCGGCUAACUCGUGCCAGCAGCCGCGG